UACGGCCAUAUCCCAUUGAGACAACAGUUUCCAUAUAGUCACCAAAGUUAAGUAACAUCGAGCCUGGUCAGUACCUAGAUGGGAGAACACUUGGGAAUACCAGGUGCUGUAAG
Molecule: non-coding RNA, 113 nt
Organism: Acanthosepion pharaonis
Lineage: Eukaryota; Metazoa; Mollusca; Cephalopoda; Sepiida; Sepiidae
Source: the annotation of a GenBank genome assembly